GUGGACACAGGUGCUGCAUGGCUGUCGUCAGCUCCUGUCGUGAGAUGUUGGGUUAAGUCCCGCAACGAGCGCAACCCUUGUCUCUAGUUGCUACGAAAGGGCACUCUAGAGAGACUGCCGGUGACAAACCGGAGGAAGGUGGGGAUGACGUCAAGUCCUCAUGGCCCUUAUGGGUAGGGCUUCACACGUCAUACAAUGGUGCAUACAGAGGGUUGCCAAGCCGCGAGGUGGAGCUAAUCCCAGAAAAUGCAUCGUAGUCCGGAUCGUAGUCUGCAACUCGACUACGUGAAGCUGGAAUCGCUAGUAAUCGCGGAUCAGCAUGCCGCGGUGAAUACGUUCCCGGG
RNAcentral lists this ribosomal RNA (344 nucleotides) under Ralstonia solanacearum. RNAcentral describes it as "bacterial SSU rRNA". It matches the Rfam family "Bacterial small subunit ribosomal RNA", at positions 1028 to 1378 of the family's 1533-position model. Lineage: Bacteria; Pseudomonadati; Pseudomonadota; Betaproteobacteria; Burkholderiales; Burkholderiaceae. The record is from RNAcentral.